Molecule: long non-coding RNA, 994 nt
Organism: Oreochromis niloticus (Nile tilapia)
Lineage: Eukaryota; Metazoa; Chordata; Actinopteri; Cichliformes; Cichlidae
Exons: 3
Source: RefSeq, a predicted model, not a curated record
UACUGAGUAACAGACACAAAAGAAAAUUACCACUGUAGCUUGGAAAAAACAUACCAUCUUUGCAGUGUUGGCACCAAAACAAAUUAACCCUAAGGGUUUUGGAGGGCCAAUGUGUGAGCAGAAUACUAACAAAAUCCACAAUAUUCUGGGUUUACAGCAGGUACGUGACAAGGAUUUUUAGAUGAGGCUUUUUUUCUGGAAAGGUCCCAAAGGUCCAAGCCUAGGAUCUAUCCUCUAUGUGAUGAGUGUACUCUAGUGGUGGCCUCUGAGCCUUUUUCCAGCAUUGCCUCUCUUAUGUUUACUUUUUUAUGCUGAUAAAUGAAGGUUAAAGCUGAACUGUGGGCAACAGAGUAGAUCAUCCCCAUGUGGAUAGAGGGAUAUACAUAAACUAUCUGAAGUACAUGAAGUAAUCUGACCUGUAAAUCUGAGUCGCCUGAUGCAUUCUUCCAUACCAGGCUUAUCACAUCCAAAACAACUGGCGUUUAUGAAGGUUCUCUUCCUCUAACUUUAAGUCGCCACAGAAAGCUCAGUGGUCACACUGCUUCAGUCAUUAUUUCUACUCCCACUGGGGCUACAAAUGGACAAAGUCUUAUUCCAGCAGCCACCAGCCAAUCAAAGAAAUGCCUGGAGCGUGCGAGCGCCACCAGCAGACACACACACAACAGGCUGUGGCUGGAACUGUGUAGGGUGUUCUGUAGUUUCUAGUUUCAUGCAGGGAUGAAUAAUUAGCUAAAAAUAUCUGUAAAUGCUGGAGUGCAUGUUAGUGAGCAAUUCUGAUCUGUAAAACUGGGGGAGUGGGGACAUAAGAUUUGAACUCCCUAUUAUGUAAAAUCCCCUACUAUGCCUAAAUAAAUUAUACAACUACGAUUUGCCAACAGGGAAUUUUAUUCAGUGUAAAAUCGUAAAUCAAGAAUAUUUUUUUCCUUUUUAUAUUGUAAUGAAGUUUGUAUAAAUUGCUAGUGAGAAAAUGUGUAAAUGAUAGACUGUGAAUUGG